This is a long non-coding RNA of Oncorhynchus keta (chum salmon), 965 nucleotides long. RefSeq lists it as uncharacterized. The transcript has 5 exons. NCBI's taxonomy places the organism in Eukaryota, Metazoa, Chordata, Actinopteri, Salmoniformes, Salmonidae. The record is from RefSeq and is a predicted model, not a curated record.
UGCCCCUGAACUAGACAGACUGGAACAACCUCCGUGAUUUACAAGAAAUCACCCGACUGUCUAGAAAUGGAAAACCUUCAAACUAAGGCUGACCUAUCACUUCAUGAAGUACAACUUGGCCCCACAUCACUUUAAAACAUCAGCUGUCAAUCCUCCCGCAGACAUACAACUCCAGAUACCCAACUCAACAGGCAGUAUACAUCAAUGAUGUCGCUCUUGCUGCUGGUGAUUCUCUGAUCCACCUCUACGCAGACGACACCAUUCUGUAUACUUCUGGCCUGAUGCUGAAUGAAGAGCUCUUCACUAGAUACCAACACACUCAAAGGCGAUUUUCUGAAAACCGCCGGAAAACGUGUGGCGAGACCCCAUUUGCUCCAGUACUUUUUGAUCUGCUGCAGCGCUGCUACACCACUUUCAGAGCAGCAGCACCAACCAAGACACUUCUCAGCACAUUUUUGCAUUCCAGUUCAACAUUUACCUGCUCUGUUGCAGUCUAUCGUUCUACUUCUGUGGGUUUUAUGGCGGACUACAACCCCAAAAUGUGUGUUCCCGCCACCAACUUGAUGGGGUUGAAAAAACAAGUACAUGUUCAAAGGUGGAAGAGACCCUCCAGAGUUGCUGCAGUGUGUGUUCUACUGGCUGUGAUCAUAGGCCUGUGGGAUUCCUAUGCAACUGCAGAGAGAGACCAGCUACAAAAAAGUCUAAAUACCUCAACCAGAGAGAGAGACCAGCUACAGAAUAGUCUGAAUACCAUGACCACAGAGAGAGACCAGCUACAGAAUAGUCUGAAUACCAUGACCACAGAGAGAGACCAGCUACAGAAUAGGCUAAAUACCAUGACCACAGAGAGAGACCAGCUACGUAAUAGUCUAUUUUCCACGAACACAAAGAAAGACCAGCCACAAAAUAGUCUAAUUUCCACAACCACAGAGAGAGACCAGCUACAGAAUAGUCUGAAAACCAUG